GGAGCGUUCUGUAAGCCUGCGAAGGUGUGCUGUGAGGCAUGCUGGAGGUAUCAGAAGUGCGAAUGCUGACAUAAGUAACGAUAAAGCGGGUGAAAAGCCCGCUCGCCGGAAGACCAAGGGUUCCUGUCCAACGUUAAUCGGGGCAGGGUGAGUCGACCCCUAAGGCGAGGCCGAAAGGCGUAGUCGAUGGGAAACAGGUUAAUAUUCCUGUACUUGGUGUUACUGCGAAGGGGGGACGGAGAAGGCUAUGUUGGCCGGGCGACGGUUGUCCCGGUUUAAGCGUGUAGGCUGGUUUUCCAGGCAAAUCCGGAAAAUCAAGGCUGAGGCGUGAUGACGAGGCACUACGGUGCUGAAGCAACAAAUGCCCUGCUUCCAGGAAAAGCCUCUAAGCAUCAGGUAACAUCAAAUCGUACCCCAAACCGACACAGGUGGUCAGGUAGAGAAUACCAAGGCGCUUGAGAGAACUCGGGUGAAGGAACUAGGCAAAAUGGUGCCGUAACUUCGGGAGAAGGCACGCUGAUAUGUAGGUGAAGUCCCUUGCGGAUGGAGCUGAAAUCAGUCGAAGAUACCAGCUGGCUGCAAC
Molecule: ribosomal RNA, 583 nt
Filed under: Shigella sonnei
Lineage: Bacteria; Pseudomonadati; Pseudomonadota; Gammaproteobacteria; Enterobacterales; Enterobacteriaceae
Description: partial 23S ribosomal RNA
Rfam family: Bacterial large subunit ribosomal RNA
Source: RNAcentral